Long non-coding RNA from Teleopsis dalmanni, 825 nucleotides. RefSeq lists it as uncharacterized. The record is from RefSeq and is a predicted model, not a curated record. NCBI's taxonomy places the organism in Eukaryota, Metazoa, Arthropoda, Insecta, Diptera, Diopsidae. The transcript has 3 exons.
AGAAAUGUUACAUCCGAUAUAUUAUCAAAAUUUUUAAAAUUAUUUUAAGUGGGCAUUCGCUGAACAUGCCCGUGUUUCUAUAUCAUCGAAACAACAUACAUUUUUUGCAAGACCAAAUGAAAUACCAGUUGGAUUUUUCAGUGUGACGCGGUUCAGUAACAGAAAUAUAUCAAGUCUCUUUAUAACGGAGGCAUAAGUGAAUAUGUUUCCAACUGGGUAGUAAUAUUUUUGACAAAUAAAACAAUGUUUAACAGAUGUGUCAAUAAAUUUGACAUUUCAUAGUCUGGAGAAAAUAAACGAAAGUUAUGGAUCGCAGUUCUAUAAAGUUUUUACAUCGUUAAUGUAUGCUUUACGGGAAAUAUAUUUUUUAAAUUAUAUAUUUAAUAAUAUUUUUGGAGAACUCAUAUGUGAAACAAGUAAAAAAAAAAUUUUUAUAUACAAUAAAGGGUGAAUGCAUAUGUGCCGUACACAUCACAGAUUUGUAUUGGAAUUAUUUCGAUAAAUUUGUGCGAAAGUAAGAACAACACACCAGAGAAAGACCGACCGCAAAGUAAAACUCGUGUGUGAAAAACACAAUUUAGUGUUUUUCGUACGCUUCCCGACAAGAAUUCGAAAAAAAUCACAAAAAUAUUGGAAGAAAUUUAUCAGUGAAAGUGUUGGUCUUUUCAAAAAUCCUACGGAUGUGCCCAGAGACAACUAUAAUGAGACCAUAGAUACGUACUCAACAAUCGGAAAAAAAAGAAAGUUACAAAAUUGUUUAGUGAAAACUAUUUGAGAUAGUAUAAAUUAAAGUGCAUACUAAAUUAAUAUAUAUAUAAUAUAUAU